UCAUAUUUUCCCUUCUUACUUGGUAUGGCCCAGUUCUAUCCAAUUAAAAAAAAUUCACUUAUUAGUCCUAGCAGCCAUCGUUCUUUUUCAGACCUUCCCCUCCCCACUUUCUCUUUCAUUUUCAAUCUCUUUCUCUAUCUCUUUCUCUCUGGCAAAAUAGUAGAAUUCUUCUUCAGAUUUUCUUGCUCCGUUCAUUAUCUUCCUCUUCCAUAAAAUAAUUUUGUUGAACAAUCCACACCAGAUCUAUCUUUUGUAGUCCUCUUGAUUUGGUAAUUUUCUUCUUC
Molecule: long non-coding RNA, 284 nt
Filed under: Nicotiana benthamiana
Lineage: Eukaryota; Viridiplantae; Streptophyta; Magnoliopsida; Solanales; Solanaceae
Description: long non-coding RNA (NBEN_LNC011308)
Source: RNAcentral